RNAcentral lists this ribosomal RNA (465 nucleotides) under uncultured bacterium. Its description in RNAcentral is "partial 16S ribosomal RNA". It matches the Rfam family "Bacterial small subunit ribosomal RNA", at positions 28 to 507 of the family's 1533-position model. The record is from RNAcentral.
GAUGAACGCUGGCGGCGUGCUUAACACAUGCAAGUCGAACGGAAAGGCUCCUGCUUGCCGGGGUCCUCGAGUGGCGAACGGGUGAGUAACACGUGGGUGAUCUGCCCUGCACUUCGGGAUAAGCCUGGGAAACUGGGUCUAAUACCGGAUAGGACCACAUUUUGGAUGGUGUGGUGGAAAGUUUUUCGGUGUGGGAUGAGCUCGCGGCCUAUCAGCUUGUUGGUGGGGUAAUGGCCUACCAAGGCGUCGACGGGUAGCCGGCCUGAGAGGGUGUACGGCCACAUUGGGACUGAGAUACGGCCCAGACUCCUACGGGAGGCAGCGGUGGGGAAUAUUGCACAAUGGGCGCAAGCCUGAUGCAGCGACGCCGCGUGGGGGAUGACGGCCUUCGGGUUGUAAACUACUUUCGCUAGGGACGAAGCGCAAGUGACGGUACCUGGAGAAGAAGCACCGGCUAACUACGUG